UACGGAGGGUGCAAGCGUUGUCCGGAAUCACUGGGCGUAAAGGGCGCGUAGGCGGCUCAUGAAGGCUGUGGUGAAAGUCCGGGGCUCAACCUCGGAUCGGCCGUGGCGACUCGUGGGCUGGAGCACUGUAGAGGCGGGUGGAAUUCCGGGUGUAGCGGUGGAAUGCGUAGAGAUCCGGAAGAACACCAGUGGCGAAGGCGGCCCGCUGGGCAGUGGCUGACGCUGAGGCGCGACAGCAUGGGGAGCGAACAGG
This 253-nucleotide ribosomal RNA is filed under the name uncultured bacterium. RNAcentral describes it as "partial 16S ribosomal RNA". It matches the Rfam family "Bacterial small subunit ribosomal RNA", at positions 524 to 776 of the family's 1533-position model. The record is from RNAcentral.